UCCCUCAGACUGAAUUGGUUGUCUUGAAUAGUGAUUAGUUUCUGAUAUUUAGCAAUUUGAUUACUUUUUUGGUUAUCUUCCAUUUUCUGCCCCUCCACUCACAGGAAGAAUGCAAGACCCCCAGAGGACUGUUCUGUCAGGCAGACACCAUUUCUAAUCGAGGCCCUGUGCCUUACUAGAUGUGUGGCAUGGGAGUGUCACACCAUGGCUUCCGAUGUUCUUGUGCUCGUCUUAAAGGAGAAAAUACCACCUAACUUCCGGGCGUUGCAGUGAGUGUUCGCACCUACACCAUAUUUAGCCCGGAGACUGACACAUCGUGGGUUCACGGUGGCCUGCUCAGAUCCUACUUUGGCAAGAGCCAGGAGCCUUGGAAUCCAUGCCACCUUUAC
RNA transcript from Artibeus jamaicensis (Jamaican fruit-eating bat), 389 nucleotides. It is a transcript of the gene named defensin beta 116, with no coding region annotated. Lineage: Eukaryota; Metazoa; Chordata; Mammalia; Chiroptera; Phyllostomidae. The record is from RefSeq and is a predicted model, not a curated record. The transcript is spliced from 2 exons.